Fukomys damarensis (Damara mole-rat) is the source of this 309-nucleotide long non-coding RNA. RefSeq lists it as uncharacterized. The record is from RefSeq and is a predicted model, not a curated record. NCBI's taxonomy places the organism in Eukaryota, Metazoa, Chordata, Mammalia, Rodentia, Bathyergidae. The transcript has 3 exons.
CCCUGGAGGAAAUACUAAAAUUAACUUUGCUCCUUCAACAGGUUUUUCAGAUGAACUUCCUGGGAAGUAUCCAGCAUAAAGGCGGGACAAAUGAUGUAUCUGCCAAAGUGACUCAGCUCGGGUCUCUUUUCCUGCAUCCCUAUACUUCUACUCAUCUCUCUGUUACUGCUGUUCCCUGGAAGAGCAUUAAGGGGUGCUCCUCAAGAUCACAAUGUUAAGUGAAAUAAACCAGACACACAGGAUUAAGUAUAGCAUAACUUCUCUCACAUGAGAAACCCAAAGUCUAAACAAAUUAAAGAGCAAGAGAAA